GAUGAACGCUGGCGGCGUGCCUAACACAUGCAAGUCGAGCGAUCUCUUCGGAGAGAGCGGCGGACGGGUGAGUAACGCGUGGGUAACCUGCCCUGUACACACGGAUAACAUACCGAAAGGUAUACUAAUACGGGAUAACAUACGAAAGUCGCAUGGCUUUUGUAUCAAAGCUCCGGCGGUACAGGAUGGACCCGCGUCUGAUUAGCUAGUUGGUAAGGUAAUGGCUUACCAAGGCAACGAUCAGUAGCCGACCUGAGAGGGUGAUCGGCCACACUGGAACUGAGACACGGUCCAGACUCCUACGGGAGGCGGCAGCGGGGAAUAUUGCACAAUGGGCGAAAGCCUGAUGCAGCAACGCCGCGUGAGCGAUGAAGGCCUUCGGGUCGUAAAGCUCUGUCCUCAAGGAAGAUAAUGACGGUACUUGAGGAGGAAGCCCCGGCUAACUACGUGCCAGCAGCCGCUGUAA
Molecule: ribosomal RNA, 466 nt
Filed under: uncultured bacterium
Lineage: Bacteria
Description: partial 16S ribosomal RNA
Rfam family: Bacterial small subunit ribosomal RNA
Source: RNAcentral